Molecule: non-coding RNA, 115 nt
Organism: Triticum aestivum (bread wheat)
Lineage: Eukaryota; Viridiplantae; Streptophyta; Magnoliopsida; Poales; Poaceae
Source: Rfam
ACUAUACUCCCUCCGUUUGGAAUUACUUAUCUUAGAUAUGGAUGUAUCUAAAACUAAAAUACAUCUAGAUACAUUCAUUUCUGUGACAAAUAAUUCUGAACGGAGGGAGUACAUA